Molecule: ribosomal RNA, 742 nt
Filed under: Malassezia arunalokei
Lineage: Eukaryota; Fungi; Basidiomycota; Malasseziomycetes; Malasseziales; Malasseziaceae
Description: eukaryotic LSU rRNA
Rfam family: Eukaryotic large subunit ribosomal RNA (bases 1-645)
Source: RNAcentral
AGUUGUGCAUAUCAAAAAGCGGAGGAAAAGAAACUAACAAGGAUUCCCCUAGUAACGGCGAGCGAAGCGGGAAGAGCUCAAAUUUGAAAGCUGGCGUCUUCGGCGUCCGCGUUGUAAUCUCGAGACGUGUUUUCCGUGCGGCUCUAUGGACAAGUCCCUUGGAACAGGGCAUCGUAGAGGGUGAAAAUCCCGUACUUGCCAUGGAAGUACCGUGCUUUGUGAUACACGCUCCAAGAGUCGAGUAGUUUGGGAUUGCUGCUCAAAGUGGGUGGUAGACUCCAUCUAAAGCUAAAUAUCGGGGAGAGACCGAUAGCGAACAAGUACCGUGAGGGAAAGAUGAAAAGCACUUUGGAAAGAGAGUUAAAAGUACGUGAAAUUGUCGAAAGGGAAGCACUUGAAGUCAGCCAUGCUGCUUGAGACUCAGCCUGGCUUUUGCUUGGUGUAUUUCUCGGUAGCAAGCCAGCAUUGGUUUGUGUCGUCGGAGAAGCGCAUGGGGAAUGUGGCAUCCUCGGAUGUGUUAUAGCCCUGUGCAGGAUACGACGACGUAGACCAAGGAACGCAGUGUGCCCUCUGGGCGGGUCUUCGGACACCUUCACACUUAGGAUGCUGGCGUAUUGGCUUUAAGUGGCCCGUCUUGAAACACGGACCACAACUUAAAGCAUUAGCCAGCAUCCUAAGUGUGAAGGUGUCGAAGACCGCCCAGAGGGCACACUGCGUUCCUUGGUCUACGUCGUCGUAUCCU